AACGUAGGGGGCCAGCGUUGCUCGGAAUUACUGGGCGUAAAGGGUCCGUAGGCGGUGUGGCAAGUCGGAAGUGAAAUCUCUGGGCUUAACCCAGAGGCUGCUCCCGAAACUGCUGUGCUAGAGUGCGAGAGAGGCGAGUGGAAUUGCGGGUGUAGCGGUGAAAUGCGUAGAUAUCCGCAGGAACAUCCGAGGCGAAAGCGGCUCGCUGGAUCGCAACUGACGCUGAGGGACGAAAGCUAGGGGAGCAAACAG
This 252-nucleotide ribosomal RNA is filed under the name uncultured bacterium. RNAcentral describes it as "partial 16S ribosomal RNA". It matches the Rfam family "Bacterial small subunit ribosomal RNA", at positions 524 to 775 of the family's 1533-position model. The record is from RNAcentral.